RNAcentral lists this long non-coding RNA (1056 nucleotides) under Ananas comosus (pineapple). RNAcentral's name for it is "long non-coding RNA (ACOM_LNC009804)". Lineage: Eukaryota; Viridiplantae; Streptophyta; Magnoliopsida; Poales; Bromeliaceae. The record is from RNAcentral.
UGUGUGAGAAAAAGUAGAUAAUAGUUGUUAUAUAUUAAUUAGAAGAGGGGGAAUUGGUUAUAUGCUCCUGAAAUAUUUUCGACUUUCUGAUUUAUUCUUCUUAGAAGGUUAAUAUUGAAAAUAUUUUUUUUAUAUUCUAACCAAUUUCAAAUAUAUUCUUAGAGUUAAAAUCUGUUAAUGAACGCGAUAUUAUCUCUAUGAAAUUACUAUUUUGCCCUUUCAAAUAUACCCUUCUGCCACCACCGACUUUUUAUAUUUGCCCUUAAGUUAGGGACACAAAAAGUAUCUUACUUUUUGGCCUUUUCAAAUAUACCCUUCUACCAUCACCAAUAUUUCUUAUUUGCCCUUAAGUUAAGGGCAAAAGUAGCAUUUUAAUUUUUUUUAACUAUGGUAGAUAUUUAAUUCAUGUUUAACCUAAGUUAACUUAACGGGUGAUAACUGUUGGGAUAUUUUGAAAUAAUGGAGAAAUAUAUGAUGGGUAUAUUGGAAAGAAAAAAAAAGUAGGGAUAAAUGAUAUAUUUCCGAAGUUUGGAAGGGUAUAUAGGCAAUUAUCCCUAGAAGAAAAUAUCAUAAAUGCUCAUCUGAAGUUAAAAUUUAUUAAAUAUAAAAAUAUUUAAAUACUAUUUUUUAACAGUUUAAUUUUUUAAAGUACAACAAUUAUUUCAUAUGGUAUCAGAGUAGGAUCUGAGUUCGAGUCAUGCCAAGCUCCUAACAUUAUUAAUUUUCUCCCAUUUAAUUCAAGUCCACUUUAUGGGUCUUACAAAAAGUCUCGGACCCAACAGAGAGGGAGAGUGUUAAAUAUACAAAUAUUUAAACAUCAUUCUCUAACAGUUUAAACUUUUAGAGUAUAACUAUUAUUUCACAAUCGAUUUGAUCAAGAUUCUAAUUAACCUAAUUUAUCUUACAAAAAUAUCAUCAAUAUUUCUCUAAAGAUCAAAAAUACUUAUAAAUGCCCCUUAGGCAAAAAAUUCAUGAACAACAUCAUCCAAUAUUUUUUAAACACCACUUUUGCCACUAAUAUCAAUUUAACAAAGUAUAAAAAUUUAAAAUUAUUUA